GAAAUGCGAUAAGUAGUGUGAAUUGCAGAAUUCAGUGAAUCAUCGAAUCUUUGAACGCACAUUGCGCCCCUCGGUAUUCCGUGGGGCAUGCCUGUUCGAGCGUCAUCUACACCCUCAAGCUCUGCUUGGUGUUGGGCGUCUGUCCCGCCUCCGCGCGCGGACUCGCCCCAAAUGCAUUGGCAGCGGUUCCUUGCCCCCCUCUUUGCGCAGCACAUUGCCAUUCGAGGCGGCGGCGGCCCGCGUCCAACAAGCUCAACCCCCCCGUCUUUGACCUCGGAUCAGGUAGGGAUACCCGCUGAACUCAAGC
RNAcentral lists this unclassified non-coding RNA (307 nucleotides) under plant metagenome. RNAcentral's name for it is "partial contains 5.8S ribosomal RNA, internal transcribed spacer 2, and large subunit ribosomal RNA". The stretch from base 1 to 105 matches the Rfam family "5.8S ribosomal RNA", at positions 50 to 154 of the family's 154-position model. The record is from RNAcentral.